RNAcentral lists this transfer RNA (67 nucleotides) under Tagiades japetus. Its description in RNAcentral is "tRNA-His". Lineage: Eukaryota; Metazoa; Arthropoda; Insecta; Lepidoptera; Hesperiidae. The record is from RNAcentral.
AUUUAAGUAAUUUAAUUAAAAUACUGAUUUGUGGAGUCAAAAAUAUGAUAUAAAUUCAUCUUAGAUA